RNAcentral lists this long non-coding RNA (396 nucleotides) under Sorghum bicolor (sorghum). RNAcentral's name for it is "long non-coding RNA (SBIC_LNC004563)". Lineage: Eukaryota; Viridiplantae; Streptophyta; Magnoliopsida; Poales; Poaceae. The record is from RNAcentral.
GCUACCUGUUGCAUGCACACUGAUGGGAUAAAGGAUACUCAAAGGAGAGGAUUAAACAAAGGUGUUACCAUUGUAAUUUAAGGGGAAGAAUUAGUUGUUGUUUUCUUGCAUGAGAGAAAAAGGAGUAAACGUGGGGGUAGCCAGAGCAUAGAUGGCUGCAUGCCAUUGGAAGUAAAGGAAAACAAAUGAAGGAGUGAAGUGUGUCUAAAAAAAAUAAAAUGAAAGAAUUAUUGAGCAGGCGCCAUAGAGAUGAGAAGGGUGAUUUCUCCACAUGAAGAACAGGCGUCAUGAGGAAAAGAGAAAGAGAUUCAUGGCUGCCAUUACAUACAACUGAUGAGAUGGGAUAAAGAUAUACUUGAUGGAGUCAAGGAAAUUAAUAGAGGAAUUAUCUUUGCA